GAUGAACGCUGACAGAAUGCUUAACACAUGCAAGUCUACUUGAAUUUGGGUUUUUUAACUUAGAUUUGGGUGGCGGACGGGUGAGUAACGCGUAAAGAACUUGCCUCACAGCUAGGGACAACAUUUGGAAACGAAUGCUAAUACCUGAUAUUAUGAUUAUAAGGCAUCUUAGAAUUAUGAAAGCUAUAUGCGCUGUGAGAGAGCUUUGCGUCCCAUUAGCUAGUUGGAGAGGUAACGGCUCACCAAGGCGAUGAUGGGUAGCCGGCCUGAGAGGGUGAACGGCCACAAGGGGACUGAGACACGGCCCUUACUCUUACGGGAGGCAGCAGUGGGGAAUAUUGGACAAUGGACCAAGAGUCUGAUCCAGCAAUUCUGUGUGCACGAUGACGUUUUUCGGAAUGUAAAGUGCUUUCAGUUGGGAAGAAAAAAAUGACGGUACCAACAGAAGAAGUGACGGCUAAAUACGUG
RNAcentral lists this ribosomal RNA (468 nucleotides) under uncultured bacterium. Its description in RNAcentral is "partial 16S ribosomal RNA". It matches the Rfam family "Bacterial small subunit ribosomal RNA", at positions 28 to 507 of the family's 1533-position model. The record is from RNAcentral.